ACUCCUUUCUGCACCUGGCAGCUUCGCAGGAAUGAGAGCCAAGAAACGAGUGCAGACAGCUCUAGCAGCAGCUAUCCACACUGUGAAUGUCUCUGCACAGGGGUCCAAGUUGGAAGGCAUCUCAAGCUGCAAUCUGACCCAUUUAUGUGUGGUCCAAGUACAAAACAGCUGCAGAUUGCAGUGAAGAGGACGAGUGACAGCCCAAAGUCCCAAAGGUAGUACCAAAAAAAAAGGUCAAGAAAAAACCACCGGCUUUAACUUUAAGCACAACGGCAUGAUGUGCUGACAGCCACACGGCCAAGUUCAGUGCCUCUGAUGGACACGGGGCAGAGGGGAGCUGCAGAUGGUUUCAUGGAGGUGCAGGGGAAGGUUUCAGUGCAAAGGGCUCGAGGUCUCUAUUUAUAGUUGAAAUAGCGUAGCAGCAAGCAUAAUGUGAUGCCUCCGCAGCUGCCUGCCAAUGACGCACAGUCGAAGUACAGCUUUUUGAGUGUGUGUGGAAACAUACGUGUAUGGAAACAUUUCCAGAUGAAGAGACCGAGGAAAAUACUACUCGAGGAUAAUUGUGCUCACUUCUGUGGUGGCCUGCAAGCACAGCAUGAUGGAGCCAACCACUUCUAUCCUUGGAAAAUCAUCAGGAUGUACAAGCUGC
RNAcentral lists this long non-coding RNA (649 nucleotides) under Gallus gallus (chicken). Its description in RNAcentral is "lncRNA (ENSGALG00010001580.1)". The record is from RNAcentral. Lineage: Eukaryota; Metazoa; Chordata; Aves; Galliformes; Phasianidae.